AUGCGAAAAGCUCCGACCGUAUGGGAAGAGCGCUCUUAUUAGACCAGAACCAAUGGGGUCGCAAGAUCCCUUUGUAUGGUGACUCUGGAUAACUUUGUGCUGAUCGCAUGGCCUCGAGCCGGCGACGUAUCUUUCAAAUGUCUGCCCUAUCAACCUUCGAUGGUAAGCGAUUUGCCUACCAUGGUUGUAACGGGUAACGGGGAAUCAGGGUCCGAUUCCUGAGAGGGAGCAUGAGAAAUGGCUACCACAUCUACGGAAGGCAGCAGGCGCGCAAAUUACCCACUCCUAGAUCGGGGAGGUAGUGACGAAAAAUAACAAUACCGGACUCUAUGAGGCUCGGUAAUUGAAAUGAGUACAGUUUAAAACCCUUAACGAGGAUCUAUUGGAGGGCAAGUCUGGUGCCAGCAGCCGCGGUAAUUCCAGCUCCAAUAGCGUAUAUUAAAGUUGUUGCAGUUAAAAAGCUCGUAGUUGGAUCUCGGGUACUAGCAUGUGGUACGCUUAAUUGCUGUUACUGCUUGUCUAGUCCUAAUCAAUCGGUUGGCCGUUUAUGCCCUUUAUUGGGUGUUUUCGGUAGCCGGUACGUUUACUUUGAGAAAAUUAGAGUGCUUAAAGCAGGCUUUACGCCUGAAUAAUGUUGCAUGGAAUAAUAGAAUAGGACCUCGGUUCUAUUUUGUUGGUUUUGUAGAGCAUUGAGGUAAUGAUUAAUAGGGACAGACGGGGGCAUUCGUAUUGCGGUGUUAGAGGUGAAAUUCUUGGAUCGCCGCAAGACGAACAACUGCGAAAGCAUUUGCCAAGAAUGUUUUCAUUAAUCAAGAUCGAAAGUUGGAGGUUCGAAGACGAUUAGAUACCGUCCUAGUUCCAACCAUAAACGAUGCCAACUAGCGAUUAGCUGCUGUUAAUUAAACGACACAGCUAGCAGCUUCCGGGAAACCAAAGUUUUUGGGUUCCGGGGGAAGUAUGGUUGCAAAGCUGAAACUUAAAGGAAUUGACGGAAGGGCACCACCAGGAGUGGAGCCUGCGGCUUAAUUUGACCCAACACGGGAAAUCUCACCCGGCCCGGACACUGUAAGGAUUGACAGAUUGAGAGCUCUUUCUUGAUUCGGUGGGUGGUGGUGCAUGGCCGUUCUUAGUUGGUGGAGCGAUUUGUCUGGUUAAUUCCGAUAACGAACGAGACUCUAGCCUGCUAAAUAGUACGCCGA
Molecule: ribosomal RNA, 1199 nt
Filed under: metagenome
Description: SSU rRNA
Rfam family: Eukaryotic small subunit ribosomal RNA
Source: RNAcentral